This 2132-nucleotide ribosomal RNA is filed under the name mouse gut metagenome. RNAcentral's name for it is "bacterial LSU rRNA". It matches the Rfam family "Bacterial large subunit ribosomal RNA", at positions 496 to 2611 of the family's 2925-position model. The record is from RNAcentral.
CAGUACCGUGAGGGAAAGGUGAAAAGCACCCCGGGAGGGGAGUGAAAUAGUACCUGAAACCGUGCGCUUACAAGCAGUCGGAGCACCUUAAUUGGUGUGACGGCGUGCCUUUUGUAGAAUGAGCCAGCGAGUUGCGGUAUGUGGCGAGGUUAAGCUCUGAUAAGCGAGCCGUAGCGAAAGCGAGUCCGAAGUGGGCGUAUAAGUCGCAUGCCGCAGACGCGAAGCCGGGUGAGCUAUCCAUGGGCAGGCUGAAGCGGGGGUAAGACCCCGUGGAGGGCCGAACCCACUUAGGUUGAAAACUGAGGGGAUGACCUGUGGAUAGGGGUGAAAGGCCAAUCAAACCCGGAGAUAUCUCGUUCUCCCCGAAAUAGCUUUAGGGCUAGCCUCGGUUGCUUACCGUCGCAGGUAGAGCACCGGAUGGGCGCGGGGGCCUCACCGCCUACCAACCCCAACCGAACUCCGAAUGGCGACGGUCUUGAGACCGGGAGUCAGAACGUGUGGGCUAAGCCGCGCGUUCGAAAGGGAAACAGCCCAGACCGCCCGCUAAGGCCCCCAAGUUCGUGUUAAGUGGCAAAGGAUGUGCGUUUGCCUAGACAACCAGGAUGUUGGCUUAGAAGCAGCCAUUCAUUUAAAGAGUGCGUAACAGCUCACUGGUCGAGUGGACAUGCGCCGACAAUAUACGGGGCUAAGCACGACGCCGAAGCGGCGGAACGAUCCUUCAAGGACCGUUGGUAGGGGAGCUUUCCUUGGGCAGCGAAGCUGAAGGGCGACCUUUGGUGGAGCCUUAAGGAAGUGAGAAUGCUGGCAUGAGUAACGAGAGCGGCGAGAGUAACGCCGCCGCCGUAAACCCAAGGUUUCCUGGGCGAGGCUAAUCCUCCCAGGGUCAGUCGGGAGCUAAGGCGAGGCCGGAAGGCGUAGCCGAUGCACAGCAGGCAGACAUUCCUGCACCUCCCGCAGACGUUCGAGCGAUGGGGUGACGGAGAAGGGUAGCUCGACGGGGUUCUGGACGUCCCCGCGAUGUCGCGUAGCCUGAGGGGUAGUAAAAUGCGCCCCUCGCAUAAGGGUGAGGCGACGGACGAAGCGCUUUAGCGAAGCGAGUGAGCCCAUGCUUCCUAGAAAAGCCUCUAGCAAGUCUGCGGGUGCCCGUACCGCAAACCGACACAGGUGGGUGGGUAGAACAUACCAAGGCGAUCGGGUCAACCAUGGUUAAGGAACUCGGCAAAAUGGCCCCGUAACUUCGGGAGAAGGGGCGGUGGCGCGGGUGAUAGAGCGUGCCUCUUGAGCCUGAGCCACUCACAGUAAAGAGGCCCAAACGACUGUUUACCAAAAACACAGGACUCUGCUGAAGUCGUAAGACGACGUAUAGGGUCUGACGCCUGCCCGGUGCCGGAAGGUCACGUGGAGUUGUCAGUCGCAAGACGAAGCAGCGAAACCAAGCCCCGGUAAACGGCGGCCGUAACUAUAACGGUCCUAAGGUAGCGAAAUUCCUUGUCGGGUAAGUUCCGACCUGCACGAAAGGCGUAACGAUUUGGGCGCUGUCUCAACCAUGGACCCGGUGAAAUUGCACUAGUCGUGAAGAUGCGACUUACCCGCGGAAGGACGGAAAGACCCCGUGAACCUUUACUGCAGCUAGACAUUGGCUGCCGGUCCGACGUGUAGAGGAUAGGUGGGAGACUGAGAACCACUGGCGCCAGCCGGUGGGGAGUCGCCCUUGGAAUACCACCCUCGUCGCUCUGGCAUCCUAACCUGCGACCGUUAUCCGGCGCAGGGACCGUGUCUGGUGGGUAGUUUGACUGGGGCGGUCGCCUCCUAAAGAGUAACGGAGGCGCGCAAAGGUCUGCUCGGGACGGUCGGCAACCGUCCUUUUGAGUGCAAGAGCAUAAGCAGGCUUCACUGCGAGACCAACAAGUCGAGCAGGUGGGAAACCAGGCUCUAGUGAUCCGGCGGCCCAGAGUGGAAUGGCCGUCGCUCAACGGAUAAAAGGUACUCCGGGGAUAACAGGCUGAUCUUCCCCAAGAGUCCACAUCGACGGGAAGGUUUGGCACCUCGAUGUCGGCUCAUCGCAUCCUGGGGCUGGAGCAGGUCCCAAGGGUUGGGCUGUUCGCCCAUUAAAGCGGUACGCGAGCUGGGUU